CGGCGAACGGGUGAGUAACACGUGGGUGAUCUGCCCUGCACUUCGGGAUAAGCCUGGGAAACUGGGUCUAAUACCGGAUAUGACNUCCUGUUGCAUGGCNUGNGGUGGAAAGAUUUAUCGGUGCAAGAUGGGCCCGCGGCCUAUCAGCUUGUUGGUGGGGUAAUGGCCUACCAAGGCGACGACGGGUAGCCGACCUGAGAGGGUGACCGGCCACACUGGGACUGAGACACGGCCCAGACUCCUACGGGAGGCAGCAGUGGGGAAUAUUGCACAAUGGGCGAAAGCCUGAUGCAGCGACGCCGCGUGAGGGAUGACGGCCUUCGGGUUGUAAACCUCUUUCAGCAGGGACGAAGCGCAAGUGACGGUACCUGCAGAAGAAGCACCGGCUAACUACGUGCCAGCAGCCGCGGUAAUACGUAGGGUGCAAGCGUUGUCCGGAAUUACUGGGCGUAAAGAGUUCGUAGGCGGUUUGUCGCGUCGUUUGUGAAAACCAGCAGNUCANCUGCUGGCUUGCAGGGCNAUACGGGCAUACUUGAGUACUGCAGGGGAGACUGGGAAUUCCUGGUG
Molecule: ribosomal RNA, 567 nt
Filed under: Rhodococcus sp. 7E_(MB)_50.2mbsf
Lineage: Bacteria; Bacillati; Actinomycetota; Actinomycetes; Mycobacteriales; Nocardiaceae
Description: bacterial SSU rRNA
Rfam family: Bacterial small subunit ribosomal RNA
Source: RNAcentral